UACGUAGGGUGCAAGCGUUAAUCGGAAUCACUGGGCGUAAAGCGCGCGCAGGUGGUUUCUUAAGUCUGAUGUGAAAGCCCCCGGCUCAACCGGGGAGGGUCAUUGGAAACUGGGAGACUUGAGUGCAGAAGAGGAUAGUGGAAUUCCAAGUGUAGCGGUGAAAUGCGUAGAGAUUUGGAGGAACACCAGUGGCGAAGGCGACUGUCUGGUCUGUAACUGACACUGAGGCGCGAAAGCGUGGGGAGCAAACAGG
RNAcentral lists this ribosomal RNA (253 nucleotides) under uncultured Caryophanaceae bacterium. Its description in RNAcentral is "uncultured Planococcaceae bacterium partial 16S ribosomal RNA". It matches the Rfam family "Bacterial small subunit ribosomal RNA", at positions 524 to 776 of the family's 1533-position model. The record is from RNAcentral. Lineage: Bacteria; Bacillati; Bacillota; Bacilli; Caryophanales; Caryophanaceae.